GACCUCAGAUCAGGUAGGACUACCCGCUGAACUUAAGCAUAUCAAUAAGCGGAGGAAAAGAAACUAACAAGGAUUCCCCUAGUAACGGCGAGCGAACCGGGAAGAGCUCAAAUUUGAAAUCUGGCGUCCCACGGGCGUCCGAGUUGUAAUCUGCAGAGGCGUCUUCCGCCCCGGACCGCGUCCAAGUCCCUUGGAACAGGGUAUCAAAGAGGGUGACAAUCCCGUGCUUGACGYGACCCCCGGUGCUAUGUGAUGCGACCUCAAAGAGUCGAGUUGUUUGGGAAUGCAGCUCAAAACGGGUGGUAAAUUCCAUCUAAGGCUAAAUAUUGGCGAGAGACCGAUAGCGAACAAGUACCGUGAGGGAAAGAUGAAAAGCACUUUGGAAAGAGAGUUAAACAGUACGUGAAAUUGUUGGAAGGGAAACGAUUGAAGUCAGUCGUGUCCGAGGGGUUCAGCCGGUCCUGCCGGUGCACUCCCCUCGGACGGGUCAACAUCGGUUCUGKCCGGCGGACAAGGGCAGGGGGAACGUGGCACCCUCGUGGUGUGUUAUAGCCCCCCGUCGCAUACGUCGGUCGGGACCGAGGAUCGCAGCUCGCCCUCACGGGCCGGGGUUCGCCCACGUCCGAGCUUAGGAUGUUGACGUAAUGGCUUUAAACGACCCGUCUUGAAACACGGACCAAGGAGUCUAACAUAUCUGCGAGUGUUUGGGUGUCAAACCCGGACGCGUAAUGAAAGUGAACGUAGGAGGGAUCCGCGAGGAGCACCUUCGACCGAUCCGGAUCUUCUGUGAUGGAUUUGAGUGAGAGCAUAUAUGCUGGGACCCGAAAGAUGGUGAACUAUGCCUGAAUAGGGCGAAGCCAGGGGAAACUCUGGUGGAGGCUCGUAGCGAUUCUGACGUGCAAAUCGAUCGUCAAAUUUGGGUAUAGGGGCGAAAGACUAAUCGAACCAUCUAAUGG
Molecule: ribosomal RNA, 956 nt
Filed under: Tremella mesenterica
Lineage: Eukaryota; Fungi; Basidiomycota; Tremellomycetes; Tremellales; Tremellaceae
Description: eukaryotic LSU rRNA
Rfam family: Eukaryotic large subunit ribosomal RNA
Source: RNAcentral